AAAGGGGGUAACUGAAGUCACCCCCAUUCCAGAGCCACAAAAGGGAUAGAAAUCCCUAAAACUAAAAAACCAUCUUCUUCUCCUUUCUCUUUCGCGUGGUGGAGAUGGCCACUAUAGCAAGGCGCGGUGGUGAUCGUUGUGCCUUGUUGGAAACUUCGAUCCAAGCUUCUGUCCCGUUCCCCGAAUCUCCUGGCGGUUCACCGUGGAAAUGAGGUGGAAACGAUGGUAGUGCGAAUCCUUCUUCUCCAUCUCUUUCCCGGCGAGGAGAAUGGAACUCUCCCAACUCCGUUUUCAUCCUUUUCAAUGCCAGCUUCAAAUUGAUGGAGGAAGACAAUAAUGCCAAUCCUCCAAGGCUUUCUCGGCUAAGACCUGGUCUCAAAAACCACCACCCCAAAUUUGAAUCGAGUGUUUCACGACGGCUCAGCCUCCCUCCGAUGG
RNAcentral lists this long non-coding RNA (438 nucleotides) under Lupinus angustifolius (narrow-leaved blue lupine). Its description in RNAcentral is "long non-coding RNA (LANG_LNC002872)". The record is from RNAcentral. Lineage: Eukaryota; Viridiplantae; Streptophyta; Magnoliopsida; Fabales; Fabaceae.